Molecule: ribosomal RNA, 301 nt
Filed under: uncultured bacterium
Lineage: Bacteria
Description: partial 16S ribosomal RNA
Rfam family: Bacterial small subunit ribosomal RNA
Source: RNAcentral
CAGCCGCCGCGGUAAUACAGAGGGUGCAAGCGUUAAUCGGAAUUACUGGGCGUAAAGCGUGCGUAGGUGGUGGUUUAAGUCCGUUGUGAAAGCCCUGGGCUCAACCUGGGAAUUGCAGUGGAUACUGGGUCACUAGAGUGUGGUAGAGGAUAGUGGAAUUUCCGGUGUAGCAGUGAAAUGCGUAGAGAUCGGAAGGAACAUCUGUGGCGAAGGCGACUAUCUGGGCCAACACUGACACUGAGGCACGAAAGCGUGGGGAGCAAACAGGAUUAGAGACCCCCGUAGUCCCUGUCUCUUAUAC